This 411-nucleotide ribosomal RNA is filed under the name Actinomycetes bacterium. RNAcentral describes it as "Actinobacteria bacterium partial 16S ribosomal RNA". It matches the Rfam family "Bacterial small subunit ribosomal RNA", at positions 355 to 776 of the family's 1533-position model. The record is from RNAcentral. Lineage: Bacteria; Bacillati; Actinomycetota; Actinomycetes.
UGGGGAAUAUUGCACAAUGGGCGCAAGCCUGAUGCAGCGACGCCGCGUGGGGGAUGACGGCCUUCGGGUUGUAAACUCCUUUCGCUAGGGACGAAGCUUUUUGUGACGGUACCUAGAUAAGAAGCACCGGCUAACUACGUGCCAGCAGCCGCGGUAAUACGUAGGGUGCGAGCGUUGUCCGGAAUUACUGGGCGUAAAGGGCUCGUAGGUGGUUUGUCGCGUCGUCUGUGAAAUUACGGGGCUUAACUCCGGGCGUGCAGGCGAUACGGGCAUAACUUGAGUACUGUAGGGGUAACUGGAAUUCCUGGUGGAGCGGUGAAAUGCGCAGAUAUCAGGAGGAACACCGAUGGCGAAGGCAGGUUACUGGGCAGUUACUGACGCUGAGGAGCGAAAGCAUGGGUAGCGAACAGG